AUUCAAAUAGCUUAUAUAAAGUAUCACAUUGAAGCUGUGGGGAAGAUUAUUUUAUCUUUGAAUA
RNAcentral lists this transfer RNA (64 nucleotides) under Typhlatya galapagensis. Its description in RNAcentral is "tRNA-Phe". The record is from RNAcentral. Lineage: Eukaryota; Metazoa; Arthropoda; Malacostraca; Decapoda; Atyidae.